GUGAAUCAUCGAAUCUUUGGACGCAAAUUGCGCUUCCUGGUAUCCCGGGAAGUAUGCCUGUUUGAGGGUCAGUAUUAACAAAAAAUCGGUUUGGUUGCAAAUUGUGACGUUUCCGGAGUUUGGGCUAUCUUAACUUUUUUGGUUAAGGGGCUUAAAAUUGACCUUUUUUGCGCAUUUUUAGACGUAUAUAUUUUUUUUUUUUUUUCCUCUAUUUUUUAUGCCAAUAUCAUUUGA
RNAcentral lists this unclassified non-coding RNA (234 nucleotides) under Glomeraceae sp. RNAcentral's name for it is "partial contains 5.8S ribosomal RNA and internal transcribed spacer 2". The stretch from base 1 to 71 matches the Rfam family "5.8S ribosomal RNA", at positions 84 to 154 of the family's 154-position model. The record is from RNAcentral. Lineage: Eukaryota; Fungi; Glomeromycota; Glomeromycetes; Glomerales; Glomeraceae.